Molecule: ribosomal RNA, 824 nt
Filed under: Bacterium PE_IPFFC14
Lineage: Bacteria
Description: bacterial SSU rRNA
Rfam family: Bacterial small subunit ribosomal RNA
Source: RNAcentral
GUGAGUAAUCUGCCCUUGACUCUGGGAUAACUUUGGGAAACCGGGUCUAAUACUGGAUACGACCUUCCCGCGCAUGCGGUGUUGGUGGAAAGCUUUUGCGGUUUUGGAUGGACUCGCGGCCUAUCAGCUUGUUGGUGGGGUAAUGGCCUACCAAGGCGACGACGGGUAGCCGGCCUGAGAGGGUGACCGGCCACACUGGGACUGAGACACGGCCCAGACUCCUACGGGAGGCAGCAGUGGGGAAUAUUGCACAAUGGGCGCAAGCCUGAUGCAGCGACGCCGCGUGAGGGAUGAAGGCCUUCGGGUUGUAAACCUCUUUCAGUAGGGAAGAAGCUGGCCUUUCGGGGUUGGUGACGGUACCUGCAGAAGAAGCGCCGGCUAACUACGUGCCAGCAGCCGCGGUAAUACGUAGGGCGCAAGCGUUAUCCGGAAUUAUUGGGCGUAAAGAGCUCGUAGGCGGUUUGUCGCGUCUGCCGUGAAAGUCCGGGGCUUAACUCCGGAUCUGCGGUGGGUACGGGCAGACUAGAGUGCAGUAGGGGAGACUGGAAUUCCUGGUGUAGCGGUGAAAUGCGCAGAUAUCAGGAGGAACACCGAUGGCGAAGGCAGGUCUCUGGGCUGUAACUGACGCUGAGGAGCGAAAGCAUGGGGAGCGAACAGGAUUAGAUACCCUGGUAGUCCAUGCCGUAAACGUUGGGCACUAGGUGUGGGGGACAUUCCACGUUUUCCGCGCCGUAGCUAACGCAUUAAGUGCCCCCGCCUGGGGAGUACCGCCGCAAGGCUAAAACUCAAAGGGAAUUGACGGGGGGCCCGCACAAGCGGCGGGA